UUUUUUUUUUUUUUUUUUUUUUAGCUCUCUGCUUUCAUCCCAAGCCUGUUUGUUAAUAAUGAAGGUUCUGUUUCACCUCAGUGAAAAUUUCAAGCCUUGGUUAUCUUUGUUUCUUUGCCAAACAAUUGUCUUUUCCUCCCUUAGCUUCCAUAUUUAAAACUGGUAAGGAACUCGUCUUUGGGGAGCCAGUCUGCUCCUGUGACCACUGUCCAGAGGAAUUUUCUGGUAGCUGAGGAAGAGAGAACAUUGCUCAGGCAACUCCACUUCCUUCUAUCCACCUCUGUGCUGUCCAACUUGGGAGCUACUAGCUACAUGUGGCCAUUUAAAUGUAAAUGUGAAUUAAAGUUAAAUUAACUAAAAUUCAAAAUUUAGUUCUUCCAUCAUACUAGCCACUUGCCAACUGCUCAGUACACACAUUGGCAAGUGGCUGUGGUACCAACCGGACAGAGAAUAUUUCCACCAUCACAAUAAGUUCUUUUGGAUAUCAGGGCUGGCCAAUUGGUGCAUCUGUUUCAAAGUAGAAGGAGCUUGGGGUUGAGUCAUUCAAGGACUUCCCAGAAUGCGGUCUCCAUGUGUACCCCUGAAUGGUGAUCAGGUGCGGGGUAUGUAGAUCUGGCAGUGGGGAGGAGGGAACGGAAGAUCAUUUGGCACUUAUCCUUCUUUUACUGAUCUCUUACCUUCCAAAUAUUUUCCAUGCUACGUUUCUCAGCAAGUUGAAACGUUCCCCUCAAUAUGGGGCCUAAUUGCUAGCCCCUAUUUUUUUUUCUUAACUUUUAAUAAAGUAAAUUUGAUUUUACCAAAGAUCCCUCUGUGUUCAAAGAUUCCCACUCAUCAUUACUCGGGGUCCCAUGAAGAGAGAUGCAUGGUUGUAGGAGGCCCCUUCAGGGGAUGAAGAGUUUUGAUUAUUGCAGUGGUUUGCAGGGACAGAAAAACAUGUCAGGAUAAGGGCUGGUCAUUAGGGAUAGAUGGGAAGCAGUGGGAGAUGAGAGAUUGGAACUCACAAAUGUGCUCAAAAGCCCAUUGCGUGGAGGAACUACAAGAAAAGAGAACUCUUUAGAGGCCUCCUUUCAGUAUAGAAGUAAUUCACGCUGGAGAUAAUUAUCAAUGACAUUUAAAGGUCGUUUUUUAAAAUAGCCAUAGUUGCUUUCACUUCCAGAAGGCUGGGAUAACUUUUAGGAACAAUUAGAUAAAGAUGAACUCAUUCAAGGUGUGAAUAUUCAUGAGGGGCCGUAAUGCCUGUUUUGCCUUUACAGAAGUGAAUCUUCACCACUAAAAAUCAAGACCCUUGGCAAUGGAAGGAAAAGCAGGACCCCAUCCUCCCCUACCACCACCACUGAAAACAAUGACCUUGUCAAAUUGUAGCAUAAUACCUUGAAAAAGUAAGAAAAGAUCAUGGGGCAAUUUAAUCAUGAGGGUUGGGCAGGUAGAAAGAGAUGGAUUUCCUGUUCCAGGGAAGCCCCUGCCAAACCUGGAAGGGGUUAGCAAAGGGAGAGUUAUUUUUAAGACUUGCAAAGUUUGCAUUGGCUUAAAUAUAGUCCUUGCCUGGAGGCAGAGAAAAAAAAAACGGAUAAUAAAGGACCCACAUGUCAGGGAAAAAUCAGAAAUCAAAUAAAAGGUUUUGGGCGGGGAGGCUUUAUUUUCAGAGGGCAGUGUCCUGAACCAGAAAGCAGGAGACUUUUGCAAUUGGAUAUGUUAAUUAUGGAGCCUCAGAGAGGAGCUGGGGGUAGUGAGGCUGGAGGUAGCUCUGCCCUCCAGAGACAACAGUCAUAGCCAUUGAAAUGAACCACGGACAUUUACUCACUCUUACGUAAAGUGUGAACAAAGGCAUCAUUUAAAACAUUUUAGCAUUUUUUAUUGAUCUACAACAUAUCAUUU
This is a long non-coding RNA of Macaca fascicularis (crab-eating macaque), 1875 nucleotides long. NCBI's taxonomy places the organism in Eukaryota, Metazoa, Chordata, Mammalia, Primates, Cercopithecidae. The record is from Ensembl.